RNAcentral lists this ribosomal RNA (426 nucleotides) under uncultured prokaryote. RNAcentral describes it as "bacterial SSU rRNA". It matches the Rfam family "Bacterial small subunit ribosomal RNA", at positions 355 to 774 of the family's 1533-position model. The record is from RNAcentral.
UCGAGAAUUUUUCACAAUGGGCGCAAGCCUGAUGGAGCGACGCCGCGUGGGGGAUGAAUGGCUUCGGCCCGUAAACCCCUGUCAUUUGCGAUCAACCGUUAUUGUUUAAGAGAUGAUAACCUGAUAGUAGCGAAAGAGGAAGGGACGGCUAACUCUGUGCCAGCAGCCGCGGUAAUACAGAGGUCCCAAGCGUUGUUCGGAUUCACUGGGCGUAAAGGGUGCGUAGGUGGCGAAGUAAGUCGGAUGUGAAAUCGCCGGGCGCAACUCGGAAACUGCAUUUGAAACUACGUUGCUUGAGGGUUGGAGGGGGGACUGGAAUACUUGGUGUAGCAGUGAAAUGCGUAGAGAUCAAGUGGAACACCAGUGGCGAAGGCGAGUCCCUGGACAACUCCUGACACUGAGGCACGAAAGCUAGGGGAGCAAACA